RNAcentral lists this ribosomal RNA (330 nucleotides) under uncultured eukaryote. RNAcentral's name for it is "partial 18S ribosomal RNA". It matches the Rfam family "Eukaryotic small subunit ribosomal RNA", at positions 1470 to 1796 of the family's 1831-position model. The record is from RNAcentral.
CCCUUAGAUGUUCUGGGCCGCACGCGCGCUACACUGAUGCAUUCAACGAGUCUAAAACCUGGUCUGAUAGGGCUGGGUAAUCUUUUGAAAGUGCAUCGUGAUUGGGAUAGAUGAUUGCAAUUCUUCAUCUUCAACGAGGAAUGCCUAGUAAACGCAAGUCAUCAGCUUGCAUUGAUUACGUCCCUGCCCUUUGUACACACCGCCCGUCGCUCCUACCGAUUGAAUGAUCCGAUGAAUACCAUGGAUUGAGAGUACGAAUGGGUUCGCUCAUUUCUGCUGCUCGAGAAGUGGAGUAAAUCUUAUCAUUUAGAGGAAGGAGAAGUCGUAACG